Herpailurus yagouaroundi (jaguarundi) is the source of this 1168-nucleotide long non-coding RNA. RefSeq lists it as uncharacterized. Lineage: Eukaryota; Metazoa; Chordata; Mammalia; Carnivora; Felidae. The record is from RefSeq and is a predicted model, not a curated record. The transcript has 4 exons.
AAGGAGGUUGCUAUGAAGAACAAAACAAAAUGGAUUGCAUGUGUAGAGGUGAGCUGGCGAAUACUGAUAAAUGUACUUCACUGAAUGUCAGCAAAUGUCACUUGAGAAGCCAUUUGCAGCUACCAUAACAGCCUCCCAAACCCAACAAAGAGUAGCAAAAACAGGCAAAAUGAACUGGGCGUCUUGCUUCCGCAUGAAUAAGCAAUCAGCCCUCUCAGAAGUUACACCAGAAAGUUGUUAAACUUGAUAGAAGAAGCUUUCGCACCCAUACUGACGCACGCUAUAGAUUGCUACUGAGGGUUGGAGACCUUGUGAGGACAUCAGCACCGUGGCUCAGGGAAGGACCUAAUAACCCCUUCUGUCCCAGGAUUUCUGAAAGCCAAGGCCAAGUUUUCUUCGGAAUUCGGCUGGGGUGGAGAUGGUCCCCUCUUCCUCCUGGGCUUGGCCUUUCAGGGAAGCAACUUUCUUAAAAUUUUUCUACCUUUUUAAUGCAAAAAGUCCCCCCAAAGCGGGCAGAACGCAUCACAUCCGAGCAGAAAGUCAGGCCAUAAAAAGCUGGGCAUCCAGUCGCUUGAGGAGGGAGCUCAGGGCGCAGUGAUCGGCACAGAAGCGGCUCUGCCUUCCUGCAGCGGAAGGGUCCUGCAAGCCUUUCUCCACCCUCGGCGGCUUCGGCCUCCCAGGGGCGCAGGGCCCGGCCGCACGCCAAUUCGCGACACACAGUGGCUCAAGUUCAUCAAGUUUUCCUCAAUUUUGCAAACCCUUGCUGUAUCUCCAAGCCUCCCGGCUUAAGACCACACGAUUUCCAAAAAGGAAAAACUCAGAAGACCCCAGGCGCGGGACCCGAGCGGGCCCGGAGCGGGGCUGGAGCGGGCGCUGGCUGCUUCUGCGCCUCCCGGCCCCCUGCCCGCUCCGCUCUGCCCCCACGCACCUCGCUCCCUUCUUUCUCUCCGAAACUCCGUCCUCUCCGCCGAGGGGCUGCCGGGCCCCCAACCCACCUCCCGCGCGGAGAAUAAACACAGUUGACAUCACUGUUAUAAUCUUUAUUUAAAACUGUUUCCAAGGUUACAAAUUACCGUGCCUCGUAUGCAACAGGUUCCUCCGAAGCGGUAUCAUUACAGAUUAACUGUAAUGUGCAGGAUUAGAAUAAAAGCAUAAGGGAUUAGGUAAA